AUCUAAUGCCACAAGUGUCUUUAGAUUAUUCUCUCAUUGCCUCCCCUCUGAUUUUUUCUUACCUUCUUUCCAUUUCUGUCUUCCCUCCCCACUUCGAAUGUUCUUAUCUAUCCUUUUAUUCACAGUUCCUUAGGUCAGCCACAUCUGGGAUAUUCAAACUUUCUGGACUGGCCUCUUAUUUGGGUAAGAAACAGGAUUACCUGUCAUUCUCUCUUCUUUUUACCCAUGUUUUAGAACCUGCUAUUGGAUAAUUGCAUUGUUUAUUCUGUGUCUUUAGAAAGUCUGUAAGAGUAAGACCACUGGAAUCAGAAUAAAGAGCCCUACUUUCCACCCCCACACUUCUGUUUCUUCUUUUUUUUUUUUUUUUUUUUUUUUUUUGAGAUGAGUCUCGCUCUGUCAGCCGAGGUGGGCGGAUCACCCUGGCCAACAUGGCAAAACCCCAUCUCUACUAAAAAUACUUCCAUUUCUUAAAUAGCUGGGAAAAGCAAUUUUUAGCCAUUAGUUUCCUCAUCUGUAAAAUAAAUAAGUUAAACUAAAUUUCCAUUAAGUUUCCUUCCUGUUGUAAAAUGCUAUGAUUCUCAAUGGAAAAAAAAAAGACCCAUAUUUAAACUUAGGUUAUUCAAGGAAAAUGAAUUAAUUUUGUUUCAGGCACCAGCAAAGAUUCUUCUAUUUUGUAAGAGGAAAUAAUAGAAAACACUCAUAUCAGGUAUUCAUUC
RNAcentral lists this long non-coding RNA (716 nucleotides) under Homo sapiens (human). RNAcentral describes it as "HSALNT0403696". The record is from RNAcentral. Lineage: Eukaryota; Metazoa; Chordata; Mammalia; Primates; Hominidae.